CAUGUGUAUAGGUGGAGGCCUUGGAUACUGGUUCUACCCGAUGGGUAUUCCACAUCUCAAUACAUGU
This 67-nucleotide transfer RNA is filed under the name Picochlorum sp. 'soloecismus'. RNAcentral describes it as "tRNA-Thr". Lineage: Eukaryota; Viridiplantae; Chlorophyta; Trebouxiophyceae. The record is from RNAcentral.